Calypte anna (Anna's hummingbird) is the source of this 1667-nucleotide long non-coding RNA. RefSeq lists it as uncharacterized. The record is from RefSeq and is a predicted model, not a curated record. NCBI's taxonomy places the organism in Eukaryota, Metazoa, Chordata, Aves, Apodiformes, Trochilidae. The transcript has 2 exons.
CCUAGAGGAGGUUUGAAGAGGAGAAAGAAUGUGAAGUGUACCAGUCCUUCUGAGACUGCCCUUCAUCUCAAAGCCCUGGGAAAUACAGUCACUGCUCAUUCAGGGCCCAAGUCCUGAGACAUCCCCACUGCCUCAGUGAGCUGGAGUCCACCUCUCCAUCCCUGUCUCCUCACCAUGCUGUUGUGGUUUGAUAUUGCCUCCAUAUUUAUUUUGCCUACAACAAUGUCUCUUCUUUUCACUUCUUAGAGGUGCUUCAGAGCACCUGUGCUCCUACACAGAUUUACCCACCAAGCUGUUACAUGGGAAGAGAGGCCUCCCUCAGCAGCAUGUGAUGCUCAUUAGCACUCACCAAGAGAGAAUAUUUCCCAGAGGAGGACCCCAAAGGACCAGACAUCACUCUGGCAGGAUAUUGCGAGCUGCUAGGUCUCUGUGGAUACACUGAGGGCACACAAAGAGGAAGAGGCAAAAUCAGAAGGACACCCUCAGAAAAAGCAGAGCAUCCUCCCCCCUUGUGAAUCUGAGCUCUACUGGGGGGAUGGUGUAAGUGGAAAGGGGCUAAAGAUAAAAAUAUCAGAUGGAGGUGGUUAAUGAGAGGGUGAAAUGGCAAGAGGACUAAUUUCCUAUCUUUGUAUACACAGGGCUAUCUCAGACUUCCUAACAAGUGUGAGGCAGAUCACUGAAUCCCUCUAUAUGUCACCUGUGAAGUGACAAACACACCACAAAAGAAGAGGGUAGUGAAGGAAAGGGUGAACUCACCUUUCGGGAUGCCAGGAAUUCCAUGCCACGUGCUACUUGGAAGCUGUAGCAGAUGAGGUCUUCCAUUGUCAAGGGACUUUGCCACAAGUCAUCCACUGUCCAGGAGUACAAUAAAAUGAUUAGACAGGGAGAGGUCUCCCAUGAGAGUUUUCUUCUCAAGUGGCAGAAAGUGCCACUAGAAAUGUUAGUAACCCCCUCAAGUGUGAGGGGCAUGAGCCCAGCCUCCAGCACACAUCAGAGUUUUGGGGAACAGGGCUAGAAGUGACCUUGAGAAUCAGCUCAUUGUUCCUGGGCUAGGCAGGACCCAGUGAGAUCUCCCUCACUUCUUUCUUUAGGCUAAAACCCAGGGUUUUAUUCCCUUCUGGGUUUUGAGAGUCUAUUAGAAGAGACAACAAAUGACUGUAAUAGUCCUGUUCAGGGAACUGCCAUGCAACAGUGGAGAAAGAAUCAGCUCCAAGGCUGGGCCCCAGCUCCCCACUGUCAUGCCAUACAUACCCACUCCCCAGGGCAGCCAAAUCUGGCAUGUUUUUGGCAAGCCAGGUGAGGGGUCCCUGCCAAGGCUGGAGUACUCACCUUCCUGGAUGGGCUGUGCUGUUGGGCUCUUGUGCAUCAGGAAGCGGUGGAAGAUGGCACUGUCACUGGUCCCAGAACGACUCCUCCUGUCUGCUCUCACUGCCUCCACGAUGGACUGGACCUGAAUACGAAGCCUGGGAGACUUUUCCUGACAAGAAGAUAAAAAAAAUCCAAAACAACCCAGCUCAGCAGGCUACACACACUGUAAGCCCUGCACCCACAAGCUGCAUGGUCUUUUCCUGUUCUUAGUAACUCCUGCCUGGAAGCAGCUAUCUUCCAUUGCAGAGAGAAAUUAUUUCCCUGAUGUGUACAUGAAUAAAGAUCACUGUGUGAAGUUG